Triticum aestivum (bread wheat) is the source of this 3792-nucleotide long non-coding RNA. RefSeq lists it as uncharacterized. The record is from RefSeq and is a predicted model, not a curated record. The transcript is spliced from 3 exons. NCBI's taxonomy places the organism in Eukaryota, Viridiplantae, Streptophyta, Magnoliopsida, Poales, Poaceae.
CCCACGUCUUCAUCCCACCUCAGCUUGCUGCCACGCCAUGGAGGUGGUCGCUGCCCUCAACGUCCGCGCCCUCUACUCCCCUCCCACCUCCCUCCUCUCCUCUCCCUCCCCUUGCCUCCACCUUGCCGCCCACGCGCUCACCUCCCCCGCGCCUUCGCCCCCACCAUCCCCAAGUAGCACUUCCUGACCCCCAAUUCAGACCUCAUCGGUGGCCGCGGCUCCAGGGAUGGCGUCGCGAUGGUAUGAGGAGCUACGCUUGGAUCUGCUCCCUAGCCGAAUCUGCUCCAUGGCUCAUCCAGCUGAGUAAUUUGAUUGUCGCAUUCUUGCUUGAGAGGUUAUCUCGUUCCCGAGGGGAACGACGUUUGAGCGGCCGCCGCCGGAUUUAGUAUCAUUCCUUUAGAAGAACAGAAUCAUGUACCUGGUCAUCACUAGGCUCCUCAUUGGAGCGAUCAAUUUUGCACCUGGAUCUGAUCUGCUCUCAUCUUUAUUUCCCUGAUCUACGAUCUUACAUGUUGUAGUGCCUUUUUUUGUGUAAACUGUCAAAUACUACUAGUCUAGUUGCACAUAUAGUAGUCUCGGUUGAAUAUAAUCAUCGGAAAGUUGCACAAUAUAGUGAUAUUAAAAUGGCUAGAUGAUGUUUUCGCUUAAGUUAAUUUAUUUUUGCUAGUCACAUUUUUGGUUGGCAUCCACAGUAGUUGUAGUUGCACACAUGAUAUCUCACGCUCGUAUUACUUACUCAAGUAUAGCUAGACGCGCGACCAACUACUACUAUAAACUGGAAGAAUGUUGCACACGCACGACCAUGAAGUUGCACACUCUCGUUGGUAUAGUCGCACGCAUGCGACCGCUUGAAAUAAGUGUUUUCUUUAGUCAGCUAACACUGUAACGCUUGUAUGUUCUGUAAAUUAUCAAUCUUGAAUUUUCUGAAGAGCAUAGAAAGAGUUGCACAACCAUAUUUUCAGAGUUGUGCAUUGACUACCAUGCAGUUGGUCGGGGUUGUUGUCAAAGUUGCACAUCCUACAGGUAGGGAUUUGCUUAAGUUGAUCUAUUUUUGCUAGUCACAUUUUUUGUGGCAUCUGCAGUGUUGUAGUUGCGCAUAUAGUAGUUCUCAGUUGGAUAUAACCAUGAAAACUUGUACAACACUGUGGUAAACUGGAAACAUGUCGUCCUACAAGUAGGCCUCAUCGCCCAGCUUUUUUGUAACUAGGCAGGUCCCCUUAUCCAAGUUGUUUUGAAUGUUCGGUGAAGGAGAGGUGCCUGGCAGUGAAAUAGAGGGUUCUCCAAAUAGGACCUCUUGGCGAACUCAAAACGUGCUGCUAAGCGGCAACCAUGUGGCGCUGAUAAUGACGUGGAUGGAGAGGAUGAUGACGUGUCCCAGAGAGUAUCUAAAUGAGCUGGCAUCCUCAGGCUUUUCUAGUUGUACAAGAGUACCUAAUUAGUUGGCAUCCUCAACAUUUCUAGUUCCAUAAUACCAUCCAACUAGUUGACAUCCUCGGUCUUUUUGUAGUUGCAUCACACCCUCAACAUUUUCUUCUAGAAGCCUGAAACCUGGAUGUGCAUUUUUUUGGUUAGUCAUGCAAGUACUGAAUAUUUCUUUUACCAAGAAUAUCUAAUUAAUUGGUAUCCUCAAUGAUAGAGGCGGGGGUAGUCAUGUCCUCAUCACUCAAGAUUUAUAGUUGCACAAGAGUAUUCAAUUAGUUGGCAUCGACAACAUUUCUACUUGCACAAACAGUAUCCAACUAAUUGACAUCCUCAACCUUUCUAGUUGCACAAGAAUAACUAUUUUUUUAGUCUCAUCUUCAACUUUUUAAGGGUUGCCCAAGGGUAUCUAAUGACUUGGCAUCCUCAGCCUUUCUAGUUUCACAUGAGUAUUUAAUUAGUUGGCAUCCUAAGCAUUUUCUAGUUACACAAUAACAUCUAACUAGUUGACAUCCUCAGCCUUUCUAGUUGCACAAGAGUAACUAUUUUAGUUGACAUCUGCAUUUUGUAGUUGCACAACUAACAUAAUAUCAAGUUGGAAUCGUCAACCUUUUUUAUCCAGUUUUUUUGAAGAAGAACAAAUAUUUUGUGUGCAGUGUUAACUAAUCACCUUUGGCUCCUUUGGUUUUGCAAAACCGUAGGUCAUCACGUCGGAAUGUGAUCACCUUUGGCACCUUUUAUUGAUGACAAGAAAAAGAAUGUCAUCUUCUUUUCUGUUUCACCUUUAGUAACAUCCUAUAGAACAUAUUCCCCCUAUUGCAAUUUGUGUGAGACAAGCCUAUUUGUACGCUCGUUUUUAAUACCGUUCUUGUGCUUUUUCUAGUUUGGUUUCUUUGAUGCACACAUUUACAGCAAAAGUUGGGCUUUGUUUACAAGUUUAGUUGCACAAUUAUAUGUUUAUAUUUGCAGACAACAAACCCAGUUUUUUUUAGUUUCAUCUAGUCUGUGUGUUGGUUGAAGGGGAGCCUUGGCGCAGUGGUAAAGCUGUUGCCUUAUGACCAUGAGGUCACGGGUUCAAGUCCUGGAAACAGCCUCUUACAGAAAUGUAGGGAAAGGCUGCGUACUAUAGACCCAAAGUGGUCGGACCCUUCCCCGACCCUGCGCAAGCGGGAGCUACAUGCACCGGGCUGCCCUUUUUUUUUAGUCUGUGUGUUGGUUGCACACAUUUUUUGCAAGAAAAGAUGGACUGAAUGUAGUGUUUGUGCAAAUAGAAGCCCAUAUUUGUGCCAACUAAACAUGGAUCCAAAACCAUCUUUUCCUGCAAUGUGUGCAACCAACAGCCAAAAGAUUAGAACAGAUGGUCUCUAGUCUGAGUUGUUUUGUUGCACAUUUGCAUAAAAAGGUUGGCUUGGACCCAUGCUUAGUUGCAUAAAUAUGUUCAGAAACAGUACACCCAGUCCAUAUUUCUAGUUUGGGAUGUUUCCUUUGCACACAUGUUGCAGGAAAGUUGGUUAUGGACCAAUGGCUUAGUUGCACAAAUAUGUGCUUCUUUUUGCACAAACAGUACACCCGAUCCAUCUUUCUAGUCUGGGUUGUUUGUUGCACAUAUUUUGUAGGAAAGUUGUCCUUGGAUUAAUGCUUAGUGUGCACAUAUAUUUACUCCUUUAUAGUUUUGGUUGUUGGUUGCACACAUUGCAGGAAAAGUUGGCUUGGAUCCAUGAUUUAGUUGCACAAAUAUGGGCUUCUAUUUGCACAGACACUACAUCCACUCCAUGUUUCUAGUCUGGGUUGUUUGUUGCACUUUUUUUGCAAAACUACUCCCUUGUGUCUAUUUGCACACAUCCAGGCAGAAGUUGGUUUUGCUACUGGUCUACUUGCAUAUAGUGGUGUUUAAUUACACAGAUAUCAGAUUAUUGUUGCUACUCCCUCCAAUUAUGGAGAAGAUCGGUGGUAGAUCCAAAGGCAAAGGGGAAGGGAAAGUGAAGAAGGGAGGAUCUGGAGCCAGAAGGGAACUUACCGUGAUUGAUGAUGCCUGCUCUGUAGGUUUUUGGAUCUAGGAUGGGAUCCUCUUUCUUUUAUGGAGAAGAAGAAGGAGAUGCCAUGGAGAGGAAGUGUGGGCGAGGGAGACGUGGGAUCCUCUUUUGUUUGAAAUAUCCCUCUUUGAUGAAAUUGAUGCUUGCUAUGCUUGUGGCCAUGAUGCCAAUAUGAAUUAUGCUUAUGGAGAUAAACUUGCUAUAGUUCCUUAUGUUUAGAAUGAAAUUGUUGCUAUUGCACCCAUACAUGAUAGUCCUAUUAUCUGUUUGAAUUCUCCAAACUACACUAUCUCGGAGAAGUUUGCGCUUAAUAAGGAUUAUAUUGUUGGGUUGCGUUUUA